CAUUCUCAAAACCUUCUUGGUUUCUUCGACCAGGAAGGUUUUGGACUCUGGAGGUUCUUGCUGGCCUUCCUUUGUUGAAGCCAGCUCCUCUGAAAUGAAUUAGUGGGGUGUGCUUUGCUGAUCCUCGACGUGAUAAGAUAUUUCUACGUCUUGGGUCUUGCACUGUUUCCUGCUUCUAACCGUCUUGUAGAAGACAAUUGGCCGAGUGAUUGCCACUCGGCCCACAAA
RNAcentral lists this unclassified non-coding RNA (228 nucleotides) under uncultured Russula. RNAcentral describes it as "sequence contains ITS2". Lineage: Eukaryota; Fungi; Basidiomycota; Agaricomycetes; Russulales; Russulaceae. The record is from RNAcentral.